RNAcentral lists this ribosomal RNA (253 nucleotides) under uncultured bacterium. RNAcentral's name for it is "partial 16S ribosomal RNA". It matches the Rfam family "Bacterial small subunit ribosomal RNA", at positions 524 to 776 of the family's 1533-position model. The record is from RNAcentral.
UACAGAGGUCUCAAGCGUUGUUCGGAUUCAUUGGGCGUAAAGGGCGCGUAGGCGGCGGGGUAAGUCGGGUGUGAAAUCUCAGAGCUCAACUCUGAAACUGCACUCGAUACUGCUCUGCUUGAGGACUGGAGAGGAGACUGGAAUUCACGGUGUAGCAGUGAAAUGCGUAGAUAUCGUGAGGAAGACCAGUGGCGAAGGCGGGUCUCUGGGCCGUAACUGACGCUGAGGAGCGAAAGCAUGGGGAGCGAACAGG